This 4064-nucleotide unclassified non-coding RNA is filed under the name Hevea brasiliensis (rubber tree). Lineage: Eukaryota; Viridiplantae; Streptophyta; Magnoliopsida; Malpighiales; Euphorbiaceae. The record is from RNAcentral.
GAAAAUUCGAGAAAAAAUGCAGACCGGAACCUCAAGCGAAGCAACGGUACCGGACCACCAAUAGCCUCGUAACAAGAUUCUUACUUCUUAGUUCUUACCUUCUCUUUCCUCUCCUUUCUUUCUUCGUACCCACACUGAAUCCGAGGCCUUUUGCUCUCUCACUUCGUUCUCAAUUUAACAUUUUCGUUUUCAUUUUUUUUUUAUUUUUUUCUUCGAUAUUUAUUUUCGUUUGUCCCAUAUAUUCUUUGCCUCCCCAAGUGGAAAAGUGAAUAGAGAGAGAGACAGAGCGAGAGAGAGACAGAGUGGGAGAGACGGGUGUGCUUGUGGAUUUCUGGGUUUUACCAAAAUUUUCAGGGCGACCCAGGAGUUGAUGGGUUCAUAGCAACAUAAUAAUUGUAGUAAUUAAAGUAAUGGGGAGUUACAUUGAAGAGGAAGAGGAACGAUUUUUUGAUAGCCGCGAGAAUAUUUCUUCUGUGUCUGAUUCGGAUUCAACUUGUUAUGACGAUUGCAGUUCUAGUGUUGAGUUUGAUAAUAGUUUUUCUCAAUACGAGGUUUGGAUUAAGACACCGGAAAGUGUUCAGAAUCGCCGCAAUAGGUUCCUGAAUUGGAUGGGUGUAACUUUGGAUCAAAAUACAAUCGCCCAGGAGGAGUCACCUGAUCAAUCCUCCACUAAAAUCCAACUGGGUAUUGAUAGAAUGGUGGAUACUAGUGGGGCAGUGUUGAGGAUGUCGGGUUUUGAAGAUGAUCAGUCUUCAAUGUCUUCUCACUCAAUUGAAACUUGGGAUGAGUUUGAAACUAACAUGGAGAAUACUUCUGUUUAUGAAACUAGAAAAUUGGAUGAUGGAAAAGAGUUUGUAGUGGAUGAAAUUGAUCAAAAUGGGAUGCUUAGCAGACUACACGAACUGUGCGCCAAUAGAUCUCUUAGUUUUGAAGAGUUUCAGAGGAUUACUGGGAUAUCCCCUUUGAUUCAGAGACUUACGAAUAAAUAUGUCAGGGAUGCCAGGGUUAUGACUGAAGCCAAAAAGAAAGCAAAGAGUUGGUUAAGAAGAUUAGGAAGAUUAAGUCAUGCAGGACAAAUUGCUGAUAGGCAUGGGUUAGCGCCUUUGAAGCCCAAUGAAUAUGAAUCGACUGUAGGAUCAAAGAUGCAAAGGAUUAAAGUUCAUCCAUCCAAGAAGCGGUCCAAGGAAUUGUCUUCUCUCUAUGCCAGACAGGAAUUUUUAGCACAUAAUGGAUCAAUUUUGACAAUGAAAUUCAGUCAUGAUGGGCAAUACUUGGCAAGUGGUGGUGAAGAUGGCGUUGUGCGCGUGUGGAGGGUGAUUGAGGAUGAUAGAUUGGACCAAUUUCACAUCUCAGCUAAUGAUCCUUCAUGUCUGUAUUUCACAAUGAAUCAUCUUUCCAAAAUAGCUUCUCUUGAUGCGGAUGAAAUGAAAAUUGAUAAAACAAAGAGGCAAAUAUCAUCAGACUCGACUUGUGUUAUUUUUCCACCCAAGAUUUUCAGAGUAUUGGAGAAGCCUCUGCAUGAGUUUCAGGGACACAGUGGUGAGGUUUUGGAUCUCUCAUGGUCUAAAAAAAUGGUUAGCAUCCCAGUUUUUUUGGAUAAAAAUUGCAAUUUUUCUGGAAUUUGAAAAUUUUGAAUUUAGUGGCUGUGCUUUAAACUUGCAUAAAGUCUUCUUGACCAAAUGAAGUGUAAUAUCUUUACAUCUUGUUUAUAAUUAUGCAGUUUCUGUUAUCAUCCUCUAUUGAUAAGACAGUUUGCCUCUGGCAAGUGGGACACGACAGAUGCCUGAGAGUUUUUUUCUCAUAAUAAUUAUGGUUUGUCACCUGUUAUAUCUAAAUUUCUUUUAACAUGUUUAUGCUAAACCAUUUAUUUACUGUUGGUUGACUUAUUUCAGUAUGAUGAUCUCAAUUCUUUGUUCCAGUUUCAUUUGGCUGUUUUACAAUGAUGAUUUAAUAUUUCUAUCAUUUUCAUUCAUUGCAGUGACUUGUGUUGACUUCAAUCCUCUUAAUGAUAAUUAUUUCAUCAGUGGUUCAAUAGAUGGAAAAGUUCGCAUCUGGGAAGUGCUUGGUUGUCAGGUUGUUGAUUAUACUGUUAUAAGGGAAAUUGUUACUGCCGUGUCUUUUCGUCCUGAUGGAAAGGUGGGAAAAAUCAUUUGUCUUCCGCGUAUAAAAGGCUUUCUUUGGAAGAUUUAGAUCAAUUUAAUUUUAAUGUAAAAGUUCUUUGCUUGAAUCUUGCAGGGUGGAAUAGUGGGCACACUGACAGGAAAUUGUCUUUUUUAUGAUAUCAUAGGUAUGCAUUUGUAUGAUUUAAAGCAAAAUUUCAUUAGUUCUUUACCACAAAAGCAAUUGACUGGGCAAAUUUUGUGAUGCUCCUAAAUAAUUACAUUCUUGCUAUUGUUCUAUGUAUUUUUAAUGAUAAAUACAUAGAUUGAUUCCUAUUUUCCACUUCUUGAUGUUUUUUCCAUAGGGAGGUUCCUGCUGACUACCCUGUGAUCAUGUUCUUUAUGUUGCAGAUAAUCGCUUGCAACUUGAUGCUCAAAUAUCCUUACAGGGCAAAAAGAAGUUAACAGGCAGGAGGAUUACUGGCUUUGAGGUGCUCAAAUUUUGUCCUCUUUUUUGUUAAGACAACUUGUUUCUUUGCUAUUGAUUUUAAUAGGUAAAGGCUUAACUGCUUACGAUUUUAUCAUCCAGUUCUCCCCGAGUGAUCCAACCAAAGUAGUAGUAUCUUCUGCUGAUUCAAUAGUACGAGUAUUGAAUGGCAUGGAUGUCAUAUGCAAAUUUAGAGGUUGGUAUCUAUUACUAUUGACUUGAACCUUUUUGGUUUGCCACUUCUUUAUUUGGUGUUAUUUGUGAGAUAACCAUCUAGGUUGGCUUGCAAAUUGCCUGUUUAGAUAAUUUAACUAGGUGGAAUAUGCACCCUUUUUUUUUACCACGUUUAUGUGAUGUUCCAGUAUGAUUGCUUUAGCAUUGCCCUUUGCAUUAGCUUGACUGUUAAUUUGUUUUCCCUUUUAGUGUCUAGCAUUGGCAUUGCAGCGAACCAAAUGUCUGCAUCUUUUACCACAGAUGGGAAACAUGUUGUCUCAACAAGUGAAGAUUCUAAUGUUUACAUUUGGAACUACAAUAACCAGGAAAAGAGUGCCUCUCAAGCCAAAAACAUUCACUCUUAUGAGAGUUUCAGGUCUCAAAAUGUAUCGAUUGCAAUACCUUGGGGCGGCAUUGAAAAUGGGCCAGGAGCACUUGUAUCCCCCACACCUGGUAGGGAUAUGCAUGGAAGUAGCGAAAAAAAUGGACAUGUCUGUCAUAAAUAUUUUGGGAAGUUGGACCACAAAAUUCUUCAACCUUCGUCAGAUUGUUUCUCUCUUACUCGUGGGUUUUUGUUAGAUUCUUUGACGAGGGGAUCUGCAACUUGGCCUGAAGAGAAACUUACUGAUUCAAGCCCAGUUGCUAUGUCACCUACAAAGAGUAAAUCUGAAUUCAAGUUUUUGAAGAGUGCCUGCCAGAAUAUCCUCAGUUCUCCUCAUCUAUGGGGUCUUGUGAUCGUAACUGCUGGCUGGGAUGGACGAAUUAGAACAUACCUCAAUUAUGGGUUACCUCUACGCAUUUGAAACUUCAAGUUUUGGCAGAAUGAUCUACGCCUUAGUAUUGGUUUUCUGGCAUUUCGGCAGUGGCACCAAGGCUUGCCAUCCGGUGGAUGCUUCAUGUUUCUGGUUAGCAUAUACAACAGUGGAGCAAGAGAUCUACUUCUUGUGGACACCCUCAAUUUAUCAAGUGUUUAUGGAAAUACACAAUGCAACAUAUCUAUAAUCCUGCUGUUACAAUUGGCUGGGGUUUAGUUACAUUUUUAUUGUAUUUUAAUGCACAUGUUACUUAAAUGAUUCUUUGAUUUGUUUUAAUGCUGCCAUUACAAAAUUGAAUGCAAGUUGUGUUAAAUGAUGAGAGAAAUUUUGAGGUCAUUGUGUAUGGAUUAUUGAGGGAUCAGCAGCGCCCUAUUCCCUGAUGGUCCCAGGGUGGAGCUUCUUUGGGGCAUGACCCUCAAAUUUACGGUACAAAAAAACAUUAAUACAAAG